Molecule: long non-coding RNA, 1603 nt
Filed under: Nicotiana benthamiana
Lineage: Eukaryota; Viridiplantae; Streptophyta; Magnoliopsida; Solanales; Solanaceae
Description: long non-coding RNA (NBEN_LNC037688)
Source: RNAcentral
UUCUGUCUUCUCCAAUAUUGUGACAUUGACAUUGACUUCCUUCCUCAUUAACCAUAAUCUACCAUUUGGUGCAUAUUCAUUAUUGUCUUUAAUUUUCCAUUCUCUCCAUAUUUUUCUUUGAAUAGCCUUUGCAUUCUGCUUUAUGACUCUUGUUUCAAGGCAAGCUAUCAUAUCCACCUUAUUUUUCAACAAGAAUUUUCUCACUUCUCGGUGCUUGUAGGACUUAUUCAGUCCUCUCACAUUUCAAGACAUAAUAAUUAUGGGGAUAGAUUAUUAGGAGUGUUGUUUAGGCUCCUCUGUCUUGCUUCAUCAUUUAUCAUUUCAUCCUGCAUAGUCCUUUCAGGUGGAUUAUCCUUUACCAUCAUUGUUGCAAAUCUGUCCUUGCUUGCUAACUCCUCAUAAUUGAUCUUUUUGUGUUUUGAAUUUUGUAUGUUCAUAUCCUUCUUGCCUUUAUGUUGUUCCUGUUUAUCUUUCUGUUCAGUUGCAUCUAUUUGUUGCUGGUUGGAUUUCUUUGCUUUCUUUGGCUUCCAUUCCAUUUUGUUCCUCUUAUUUCUUCUUCUUUUCAACUUAACUUCUUCUUUGUGUUCCUCGGCCUAUUAACAUUUCCCUUUGUCAUACCCAAAGUUGUUACACUCUAGGUAGAAUUUUGGCUUCCGCUCGAAUUCCACACUUUAUAUCCAGCUUCUUUGAUUAGGGAUAUUAAGGUGGACUUUAUCUGGUAAAGGCUGUGUGAUAUCCAUUUCAACUUGUACCCUAGCAAAUGAGAUCCUCUCACAAUUCAGCAGUUAGCCUAUCAGUACAAAUAGGCUUACCUAGAAGGCUAGCAAUCCUUCCCGGGUUUUCCUUAAUCCAACAUUGAAUAGGCAAACCUGGAAAAUUGAUCCACAGUGGAACAAUUCUCAUGGACUCGUUUUUAAUCUGAAAAUUUGGAUCCUAUUCCUUUAGUAUCAUUGGCCUAUUGUUAAUUGUAUACGGUCCCUGUUACAACACCAUAUCUUUAUCACCCAUAGAUUCAAAUUUGAAAAUGAAAUAACCAUAAUCAUGCUUCAAAACUGUUAUAAUCGUAAUAAAUAUCCAUACACCAUAUACAAACUUUAACAUAUCUUUAAAUGAUGGAUUUCCACCCAGUACAUACCCUAUCAAAGGCAUUUUCCAUUUUUGAACUUGCAAUUCCAUCUUCCCCGUGUUCAAUUUUGUUGUUUUCACUCCAUCCUUCACCAUCGGUGGAUAGAAUUUUAACUAAAUGCCCUGUGUUUGUGUUCUUUUCCCUUUUACUGCUUCUGCCAUAGUAUGCUUUUGAGAUCCAAGUGAGUAUUUCAAUUUCCUUGUUGUCGUGAACAUCGUUGCUUCCUCUGGUUGCAUGGCCAUCUUCUGUACUUUCGGUGGAGCUUGUAUUACUGUCAGAGCACUCCUCAUGCCAGGAAGCUAAUGUAACAAUUGUAUCGGUGCUAGUUUUUGUGGUAUUCCACUUUCCGGUAUAAUUAAUCUCGUCAUCUUAGUGAAUUCAGUAGGAAUUGUAGCAAAGGAGUAGAAAUUGUUCGUUAAUGGCGUCUGUAAGCUACCUUGCUUCACAAUGGCCAGACGUUUUCUCUCUACCUUCGUG